Molecule: ribosomal RNA, 269 nt
Filed under: uncultured archaeon
Lineage: Archaea
Description: partial 16S ribosomal RNA
Rfam family: Archaeal small subunit ribosomal RNA
Source: RNAcentral
AGCUCUCCGAGUGGUAGGGAUGUUUAUUGGGCCUAAAGCGUCCGUAGCCGGUUCAGCAAGUCCUCCGUUAAAUCCAGCGAUUCAAUCGUUGGACUGCGGGAGAUACUGCUGGACUAGGGGACGGGAGAGGCCGACGGUAUUCCCGGAGUAGGGGUGAAAUCCAAUAAUUCCGGGAGGACCACCAGUGGCGAAGGCUGUCGGCUAGAACGAGCUCGACGGUGAGGGACGAAAGCUGGGGGAGCGAACCGGAUUAGAUACCCGUGUAGUCC